Long non-coding RNA from Neofelis nebulosa (Clouded leopard), 2458 nucleotides. RefSeq lists it as uncharacterized. The transcript has 8 exons. NCBI's taxonomy places the organism in Eukaryota, Metazoa, Chordata, Mammalia, Carnivora, Felidae. The record is from RefSeq and is a predicted model, not a curated record.
GACUGAAGACUGUAAAAAUAUAAGAAUUUAUUGUUAAUGUUUAAUGGGGUAGUUAGUGGCAAAAAUAUGAUCCUCGAUCUAUUCUAGAGGAGGAAAGAGGACCUUUAGGAAAGAAGACUUUCUUAUUUGCAGAAGAACUGACCCUUUUGACUGUAUGUUUUCACCUCUGUGAGGUCAUAGAGUGGAGGGGUAAGAAUGCCAACUUGCGGUGGAACAUGGGAGGGAGGUAUAAGCACUCGGGAAACAGAAUGCACAACAAUAAACUACCAUCUCUUAAGUAUCUGCUAUACUCCAGGCCCAUUACACGUGUUGUUUAACAUCAUCAUCACAGCAGGCUGACCGGGUAGAUGUACUUAUCUUUCUAACUAGAAAUGGAGCCUUAGAGUCUGAGAGGUUAAGUACUAACAGAGAGUUCCCCAGAUAAAAAGUAGCAAUGGCAGGAUUUGAACCCAGGCCUGCUUGGCUCUAAUAGCCCAGGCCUUUCCUGCUGUAAUGUGUGGCCUUAUACUUGACUAAAUCUCCAAAAAACUUUUCUAGGGACCUGUCCUAAGCUGGUUACUUAAGAAUCACUCAGGAAACUUGUAAAAAUGCAAUUUUUAAGCACUCCCCUAGGGAGAAUGUCAUCACAGAUUUAGGUUUUUCCUUUCUCUUUCUUUCUUUGCAUUUCAUAUCCUCCUCCAUUACUUCAGCUGCUUAAGGGACUACAGUAAUCAAUACUUUUUGUCUUUCAAACAUCUUAUACCUUAUACUUUUUCUUGAAAACACUGACAAAUGCACAUUCAUUUUGUCAAGCCAGGGACCCCCGAGGUUCCCCAACAGACUGUUAUACAAUCAGCAACUCCCACUUGUUCCAACAAUAUACUUUUAUCCACUUAUUCUGCUGGGGUGCAAGAGUCAUCUUUAGGACACAGUUCACUGCUGGGAGAGGCCUCCCCUUGGGCAGGACUUGCCCUAGUAGGGAAACAGAAGCAGAAAGCAGUGGAUUCCUGGGGUUUUAUUCAUCUAAUCAUUCAAGGUGGGCACAGAAAGCCUGACAUCUGAGCUGAGACCUGACGGAUGACAGAGUGAACCGUGAAUUGCUGGGGAAAAGCAUACCAGGCAGAGGGAACAGCGAGUGCAAAGACUCCCUUGGGGGAGUUUGAGGUAGUGCAAGAAGGCUAGUAUCCAGCAGGAAGCCUGGAGUGGAGUGUGCAAGAAGGAGCAAGUCAUAUUCUCUAACUGAAGAAGCCCAAACUGACCCGAGUGGAGAAACCAUAUGGAGAGACUGCAUGCAGGUGUUUUGGCUGAUGGCCCAGUCCAAACCUAUAGCCAGCGUCGACCACUGGACAUGUGCAUGUCAGGAAGAAGUCGUUGAGAUGACUUUAUCCCUAGCCACCAUCUGAAUGCAGCCUCAUGAACAACCUCAAACAUUACCCAGGAAAGAUUCAUCUGCAGUUCUGAGCUUUUCAAACUGGGGACGUGUAGCAGUGUGCUAGGGUUUCUACAAAGCUGCAGGAAAACCACGGUUCAUCACUCUGGAGCAUCAAUUUUACUCAGUGAAGCCUUCAGUGGCACGACACGUGAUUCUUGUUAUGAAGACGCCACAUCAUUUUGUAAUGCCUGAAGUCCCUAAACCUCCCACAAAAGACCUCCAGAGUCGAGUUCACCAGCUUCACACCUCAGAGUAGCUGUUGAUGGUCCCCACCUCCUGCCAUUCUCAGUUACUGUCUUCAACACCUCACUCCUCUCCUCAGCUACUACAGCCAGAGGGAAGAAGGUGAGGUCACCAAUAGUGGGCCUGAAGCUGGUGAAAUGCCAGGGAGCGAACCAACUCAUUAUAGCUGGGCCGUAAGUCUUUCCAUUCUCCUGACAGCCACCUGUUUCCAUAGACAGGAAGGGCUGGUGGCCAGAUGUCUUCGUAUGAACUUCUCUGCAGGGUCCUAAGGGAAAGAGAAAUACUGCCGCCAGUGUUUGCUUAUCUCUCUCCAGCAGCAUUCCCAGGGGUCCUGGUCCCGGCUCUGAGGAGCGCAGCGGGGGCCAGGCACCGUCUCUUGCCACGCCGCCUGCAGACCUGGCCCAUCUGCUCACAGAGCGCCUCGCCACCCGCCACCCGCGCUGCUGUCUGCUGCUGUCUGGGUGUUUCCGGCCGUCAGACUGCAUAGGCUGGCUUCGACAAAGUGACAGAAGCUGUAAAAACAGCUGUUUGACAUUCCCUGCUGCUUUUUAAAACCAAACAACAACCAACAAAGAGGUUGAAUGAAAUGCAGAAAAUACCCUUGUUUUCAUGUGGAUGAGGAUAUUUUUACUCAGAGAACAUUUAUUUUCCUUCUGCCUUGCUCUAUUCCCUAUUUACCUACCCACUCAUUUCCCUCCCUCCCUGCCUCUCUCUCUCUCUCCGUUCCUUCCUCCCUCCUUCCUUCCUCCCUCUCUUCCUUCUUCCUUUCCUUUCCUUCCUUCCCUCCUUCCUUCUUCCUUCCUU